GCCUCAAUAGCUCAAUGGCAGAGCAUCCGGCUGUUAACCGGAGGGUUGUAGGUUCGAGCCCUACUUGAGGCGCCA
This 75-nucleotide transfer RNA is filed under the name Oscillospiraceae bacterium. RNAcentral's name for it is "tRNA-Asn". It matches the Rfam family "tRNA". Rfam says of the family: Transfer RNA (tRNA) molecules are approximately 80 nucleotides in length. Lineage: Bacteria; Bacillati; Bacillota; Clostridia; Eubacteriales; Oscillospiraceae. The record is from RNAcentral.